Molecule: ribosomal RNA, 253 nt
Filed under: uncultured bacterium
Lineage: Bacteria
Description: partial 16S ribosomal RNA
Rfam family: Bacterial small subunit ribosomal RNA
Source: RNAcentral
UACGUAGGGGGCAAGCGUUGUCCGGAAUCAUUGGGCGUAAAGAGCGUGUAGGCGGCCUGAUAAGUCGGCUGUGAAAGUCAAGGGCUCAACCCUUGAAUGCCGGCCGAUACUGUCAGGCUAGAGUCCGGAAGAGGCGAGUGGAAUUCCUGGUGUAGCGGUGAAAUGCGCAGAUAUCAGGAGGAACACCAAUGGCGAAGGCAGCUCGCUGGGACGGUACUGACGCUGAGACGCGAAAGCGUGGGGAGCGAACAGG